This 3460-nucleotide small RNA is filed under the name Pongo abelii (Sumatran orangutan). RNAcentral describes it as "retained intron". The record is from RNAcentral. Lineage: Eukaryota; Metazoa; Chordata; Mammalia; Primates; Hominidae.
CGGUACAGGGUGCUUCCCAGACCCUCCCUCCUCCAAGUAGAGCUGAAAUGGGAAGGAACCCCUGGGACAGCCCCUGCCCUGCUAGGUCUUUGCCUCAGAUUGCUGCUGUGGCCAGGCCCAGGAUUUCCAGCCCCAUGGCUCUGAGACAUGCUGGGGGCCCAGGGGCUCUGGACACACUCCAUCCGGGGAUCCCUUCCUGCCAUCUGGGCAGCAACCAUGGGGACAAAGGGAGGAAGCACAGUCCUGUUUCCUUGCCGCUUGUCCAAGGCACUUCCCCAUUCUGACAGUGGCCCCCACCCAGCCCAGGAUUCUGGGUUGUGGUCUCGAGCUCACUUCCCGUUAUCUUUGGGGCCAGGGCUGACAUCAGGAGGACAUCUGACUGGUGGAUGGAGCCAGCCUGGGAACAUUGCAGCUGGGGCAGUGCCUAGGGCUCUCCCUUCCCAGGGAGACAUGGAGAAUGGGGUCGAGGGAGGGCCCUUCCCUAGUCGCUGUGGCAACUCCAGUGAGCUGUUCUGGGCAAAGUGUGGCCCAAGUCAGCAGCCCCAGCCCUGCAGUGCCGGGGACCCUGACAGGACACGGGAAGAGGCCAUGCUCUCCCUCGGGACCUGCUGUUUCAUGUGUCCCAAGCCCUCCUGCUUUCCAGAUGGCCCCUCAGGAAACCACCUUUCCGGGGCCUCUGCUCCCUUGGGCGCUCGCUGGGUCUGCGUCAACGGAGUGUGGGUAGAGUCGGGAAGACCCAGCCCUGCCAGGCUGAAGGAGGGCUCCUCACAGACACACAGGCCAGGAGGCAAGCGUGGGCAUCUUGCGGGCGGUAGCGCCGACACUGUGCGCUCUCCUGCAGACAGCCUCUCCACGUCAAGCUUCCAGUCUGUCAAGUCCAUCUCUAAUUCAGGUGAGCAGGCUGGCGUCCAUGUGCUCACAGGGGUGAGUGCCCCACGGGGACUCCAGCCUGGAUGGCCUUUAGGGGUGCUGACCAGGCACCCUCUGCUGGGCCAAGCUCCAGGAUUUGGGGGUGAAGGUGCAGCUGAAAAGAGCCCUGCAAGCUGAAGCCACCGGGAGAGGAUUAAGGGGGGGUGGGCAGGACCAGGGACCAGUCACAGGGCAGUAAGGCCUCACAGCAGGCACCCCAGGGCGGGGCAGCAAGCAGGCAGGAGGGGCCUCCCCGGGUGGCCUUCUAGGGAGGAUGUACCCUGGCUACCCAGCAGAAGCCCUGCUUGGCCGUGUCCCUGCCACAAGCAGGCAGGACACAGGAGGGAUGGCACUGCCCACGGAGCCCUGGGCUCAUGGCACCUUCUGCAGAGUGAGCCGGGAGCAGAGAGCUUCUUUUCCCCACUCUGUGAGGCCGGGCAUUUUCCUCAGCCCAGCCCUAACCCCCACCAUUCCUGUGAUGGGCCCAGGCGCUAGAUGGGCCUUGUCCUUGCCGAGGAAACCCAUGCAGGCUGGGUCCCAAGCCUCUCAUGCAGUUUCAUUUUACCCAAAAUGGGGCCAGCUUCCACAUCUUGAUUGUUCUAGAGUGUUCACAGACACCACCCAUGGGCUUCACCCUCAGAACCUCAUUGAUUCCCCCCAGAACCCUCCAAGGCAGGCUUCCCUUUACAGAGGAGGAAACUGAGGCAGGGGCAGGGGCUUCUUAGGUACACACAGCUGAUCCUGGAAAACUUGGGCAGUGACUGUUGGUGCCUGCAGUGACCGGCCUUGUAGGGUCUGACUUGCAGCCAACUCUCAAGGCAAGGCCAGGCCCCAGCCCGGCUCCUUCAACAAGCAAGAUUCGAAAGCUGACGUCCCCCAGAAGGCGGACCUGGAAGAGGAGCCCCUACUUCACAACAGGCAAGGCCUGGGACAAGGAGGCAGUAACUGGGUUCCUGGGGUACAAGGGCAGGCCAGGUAAGGCGGUUCCUGCAGGCAGCCAGGUAAGGCGCCCCCAAGGCCAUGACUACAUUUACUAGGCUCACGCCCUGCAGUCAGCCAACUGCUCUGCCCCUAGCUCCAGGGGCCUGUCUCCAGGCCUCAUGAUAGCAGAUAACGGCCACGCUCUACCCAUCGGUGGGUGCUGUCUUCCUCCCCUCCCCUGGGGGUCCUGCAGAGUACCUGUGCUGACCUGAGCCCACAAGGGGGGCCAGUAGCAGCCCCUAAACCACUUCCUCAGAGAAAAGUAAAGUAAUAUUCUUACCAAGAAAAGUGAGUUGCAUGCCUGCUGCCCCUGGCCACAGCCUUCCUUUGGAGGGCAGUAGGCCAGCAGGUCAGAGCAGGACCAGGUUCUGGUGAUCCCUGAGUUUCUGGGACUGCCCUGGGAUGCUACAGAGUGCACACUUUCAGCAGCACAACCAGCAGGACAGGCUUCUGCGUCUGCACAUCCCGAGACCAGGCAUGGAGUAAGAUGCCCCACUGGGUGUGGGGUCACGACUGAGAGCAGCCUGGCAGCUAGCUGGUCACCCACUGAAGCCCAUCUGACCCUUAGGGCACCUUCAGAGGGGAGAGAGGGACAGGCCCCAGUCCCAGAGACCCCCACCUGGUGCCCCGAGCACCCUGCUCAGUGGGAGAGGGGAACCAGGCCCUCUUCCCCACAUUGGCCUGGGCGCUGCCUGGGAAGGUAUGCUGGGUGGGUGGUUAGAUGCACCUGGGCAGGUCACCUCUGGCUGCUGCAAUGACUGUUUCAGAAAGGAGAAAGCAGAAGCCUCUAAUGCAGGAGCUGCCUGUAUGGGGAGCAGCCAGCACCAGGGCAGGCAGAUGGGGGCGGGGGCACACCCCCCAAUGAUCCUGCCCCUUCCCCUGCGAAAGCCCACCACACUUAAGCAGUGCGAAGUGCUCAUCCGCGAGCUGUGGAAUACCAACCUCCUGCAGACCCAAGAGCUGCAGCACCUCAAGUCCCUCCUGGAAGGGAGCCAGAGGCCCCAGGCGGCCCCAGAGGAAGCUAGCUUUCCCAGGUGAGUGCCUGGUACACCCCUGCCCCAUCCCUGGGGGCCUAUCCACAGCUCACUGCUGACUCUUCCUUCACCCAGGGACCAAGAAGCCAUGCAUUUCCCCAAGGUCUCCACCAAGGGCCUCUCCAAGAAAUGCCUGCUUCUGAGCCCACCUGUGGCAGAGCGUGCCAUCCUGCCUGCACUAAAGCAGACCCCGAAGAACAACUUUGCAGAGAGGCAGAAGAGGCUGCAGGCAAUGCAGAAACGGCGCCUGCAUCGCUCAGUGCUUUGAGCCACCCGCAUCUGGUCAGUGCCAGGCCCACCAACCUGCAGCUGGAGACGGGCUCUCUAUAGCAUUUCCUGAUACUUCCACUACUUUUAGGCCUGGCUAAAUUCCAAGAUAGAUGACACUCAAGAUAGAUAAAGUACUUGAUCUCCAAACUGACAAACUGUUUAUUUUCUAGCUGUUAUUUUGCUAUUUGGCAUUUACAUAAAAGCACAUGAUAAAGUUGGUAUCGCCUUACCUGUUGAAACUGAAAAUAAAGCUUGUUUAUUUCCAA